AAUAUUGCACAAUGGAGGGAACUCUGAUGCAGCAACGCCGCGUGAGUGAAGAAGGUUUUCGGUUCGUAACACUCUGUCAUCGGGGAAGAAUAAAUGACGGUACUCAAUGAGGUAGCACUGGCUAACUACGUUCCAGUAGCAGCGGUAAUACGUAGGGGGUCAGCGUUGUCCGGAAUUAUUGGGCGUAAAGGGCUCGCAGUCGGUCUUCUAAGUCUGAUGUGAAAUCUCGUAGCUUAACUACGAACGGUCAGUGGAAACUGGAGGACAUGAGUACAGAAGAGGAAAGCGGAAUUCCACGUGUAGCGGUGAAAUGCGUAGAGAUGUGGAGGAAAACCAGUGGCGAAGGCGGCUUUCUGGUCUGUAACUGACGCUGAGGCGCGAAAGCGUGGGGAGCAAACA
Molecule: ribosomal RNA, 399 nt
Filed under: uncultured bacterium
Lineage: Bacteria
Description: partial 16S ribosomal RNA
Rfam family: Bacterial small subunit ribosomal RNA
Source: RNAcentral